UUGAAAUCAGAAUUGACUAAAUUCAGUAUCGUCAGAGAAUUACAAAAUUGAAGACUGGCCAAAAACAUUUCCAAUCAGUCCAUUUCCAGGUUAGAUUGUCUCGAAUAAGUCAUUUAGCUGAAAAGAAGACAGGAACAGCUCUAGGUCAAAUAUUUAAUCAUCCUGGGAACAAAGAAGCAACUUUAUUGGACUAGUUUUAAAUAUGCUUCACAAAUACCAAAUUAGAAAAGAUGUAACAUAUUGGAUAAAACAGGCUCCAUUUCACACUUUUUUUUUAAACAUGUGGAUGAUUGUAAGCUUUCAUGUUGAGAUGUACCAUAAUCAGGUGACAAAAACAGAAACUGAUGAAGUUGGUUUUAUUUUCCAUAUCGGUGCCCUUCUUAUUUUACAAAGGGAUUAAAAGUACAGUAAAGUGGAUUUGUUUGGAGAGCAUUUAAAUGACCUUUCAUAAACUUUUCUUCACUUUAUCCUACUCUACCUUAGUGAGAUCCUGUUAAUCAGCACUGACUUGACGCUAACAGGCUCUGACCCACAUUAACACCUCAGUUUUUAAAACCAGCCUGGAAACAUUUGGUCCUGCUCUGCACGCCCUGCAAAUCCUCUGUUCAGCAGUCAUCAACAACAGCCACUCAUAAUUUAGAAAAGCUUCAGUCUCUGCAAACGCAAGAGCGGCCUGUCAGGAAAGUUUAGUUAAAAUUCUCCAGACUGAACAUGAAAGGUUGCUGCUGAAACCUGAUCAAAAGCUAUCAUUUUUUCCCCCUCUUUGCUUUGUUACAUACCUAACUGUCGGCUGCCUGGAUCCUCCAGUGAGAAGCUUUUUGGCCGCUUCAAGAGAAGAGUUGAAACAGGACCAAGCUUUGCCCCAGAUUUUUUUUUCUUUUCUAUUAGCCUCCUAGUUUAUCUCAUUUGAAUCCUAAUUUGUUCAUAAAGUCUUACAUUGACUAUCAUUGAACACAAAACGUCCCAGAGAAGACCACAGGUAUUAGUUUCCCAGGUCAAUGGAAAUGGUGAAUAAAAGUAAAAGAAAAUCAGCAAAUAGUAAGUAUGGGUGUGCUAGGCUGGGAGGAAAAUGUGUGAUGGUGUAAUUCACUCAGUGUCCUCUGCUAGUCCUUCUUUUUGCCCAAACCUCAAUGGCUUUUGAGAAGAAAAUCUCUCCAACCACCUGUUGUAAUUAUGCGCUGCUGCUUUGUUGCAACAACCUGAACCACAUAAUGGGCCUCAAACCACAUCACCUCGACAGCAAUUUACCUUGAGCUGGCCCGGGAGUGUGCUGGCUCACAUCCAGUGCGUCACAGAAAGUCACAGUUUGUUUCUUGCGCAGGAGGAAGUGGAAGACGGCUGCACCGAUGAGCCUGAAACAUUUCAGGUCUUUGAUAUAAUGUUCACCCAAUUUUAAAACUUUGCCUCACUGUCAUAUCUAACAGACAAACAGACAAAAUUUUUAGUCCAAUGCAUUUUCAUAGCUGGGUUGGGAAUUGUAAGUAGUUGUCAAUAUUUUAUGACCUACAGUACAUAUAAUAUUUUCAUUUUAGGAGAACAGCUGAAGAUUGCAAGAUUGUUAAUCUCAUUUUAUUUGCGCAUCUUUCAUGCCCAAAAGUAAUUUAUCGCCACAGCAUGUAAAUUUAAACCCUUUAAACAUCUGUAUACAUUAGACAGUUAUAAAAAGUAAGUUUCAAUCUUUUAAAAUAAUGUUGUAACCACGGCAUUCACAGUGAUGCAGAAGUAAGCACUGCCAUCUUGGAUUAGGUCUGGAAUCCCUGCCUGGUGUGUUGGACAAAGAGUUUGCAUUUUCUUCCCAUUAAUCAGAUUACUCUGGGUAAUCUGGCUUUCUCCACAGUACACCAACAUGACUGUAAGGGUAUCUUUGUACUCUAAUAUUGGCCUUUGGUAUGGGGAAUAGACUGUGUGGCUUAUCCACUUCCUCUCACCCAAGGACUGGUGGAGAAAGGCACCAUCCACUACCCUGUAAGGAUAAGCAGAAACAGACAAUGGAUGGAUGCUUUGUUUAUUAAAAAAUGAAUAGGUAUAAUUCUAUUGCGUUUGUUCCGCAACCGGUGGGUUGCCAGUUCGAUCCACUCUCUGUCCACCUAUGUUGUUGUGUCCAUCGGCAAGACACUUCACCCGUCUUGUCUCCUGGUGGUGGUCAGACUGCCACAAGGCGCUUGUGGCUACUGUCCAAAAGCUUGCCACCAUCAGUGUGUGAAUGUGUGAGUGAAGGCGUGAAUGACAGAAUGUAAAGCGCCAUUUACAAUUUUCCAGUUUGAUGCUUCCAUCAUCACUGGUAUCGAUGAAUGGGUACUUUGGUAGUUAAGACAACUUUUGCCAAUGUCCUGCAAGACUUGAUCUUAUCUGCAGUAGAGAUCUUGACUACGGACCGUUCAUACUCCAUGUCCCCAAACUCUCUUGAGGUGAUUAAAAAGCUUCUUGGUAGCAAGGCCCUGAUGGUGGAUGAGAUUCACCUGGAGUUCCUUAAGGGGGUAGUUAUCCUGGAUUGGCAGAUCUGGGUGGUGGUUGAGUGUUUUCCAAUUGCAGCAGGAUCACACUCCUAAGACACCCAGGUAUGGUCUCGAAAUACCACUUGCCACAUGCCACGAAAUACAUCUUGCAUUAAUUAGUACCAUGCACUUUUCACUGAUUGAUCAGUGUUGUUGUUGGUAUAAAGUAGGUAUGCCUUGAAUUAGUCACUAGCCACAAGGCUAACACACAAACAGACAAGAUGAAUCAUCAUGACUCAGACUUUCAACCAUGUCUCUCAUCAGCCUAACAUAUUCUGUAGAUUGGGGAGAAACUCGGAGUACCCAGAGAGAACCCACGUCAGGACGCUUCUGGUCAAGACUGGAACACAGAGACUUCUUGUUGCAUCCCAUGCAUCCCGCAUUAGUAAAUCUCUGUUAGAAUCAUCAACACCAGAAAAGUUCAGGCAGAAUUCUGACUGAUUUUUAUGACUGAAUUGGGUUUUUGGUCAGUUCCCAUGCACGAAUAUUGAGUAUGCCUAUUGGGCACCGUAAAGUAUCCAUGAGAAAAAGAAAUAGUUAGUCCUUCAAUGAAAUUAGCCCAAAAAGAAAUUGGAUUUCAUUUACUCAAAACCAAGUUUUGCAUUAAAAUUUUGCCCUCAAAAUAACAUUUUUGGGAGGAGAAAGUAACUGUUUUUGUGAUAUACCAUAGAAGUGAGGCUAUAUAAAUGUGGGAAGGUGGAGAGGUUAGACAUCACCUGGAGCGCUCCAGUCGCACACAGUGGUGGUUAGCGAAGACUGUGUGUGGGUGGUGUCGCUCUGCCGGAGCCUGAGAAAAUUGUAGCAGUGAGAAAUGCUGGAAAAUCCAGCAUUCAAGCUACAUCUGAAGUACCUAUUCGUGUUUGAGUGGAGAUCUUGAAUAAGUCUCUAACUGGAUGAAAUGACUGUCUGGGAAUGACCUCGGUGUGUAGAAGUGAUUAAGGGACGCAGUUUUGCAUAACGACUUUGAGCGCGGUGUUCCCAGUGACAUUAAAGAAGUCCUGCUGAAGUUCUUUACCAGUUGUUGAGCACACUGACACUGUUUUUCAGUUUUUGCUGCUGUUUUAUGUGUUCCAGCAAUAACAACAUUAUACACUCAGACUUAUGGAACUUAAAAAUAUAAGUAAUUUAGCUGGAAAACCAAAAAGCCCUGCAGUGGCUUCUCCAUCAACAUCUGGAUGGAAAGAAGUAUGUGUGUGAGAGAGCAGUUGUAUGCAGUAAAACAAAGCUGCAACAGAAAGCUUGUCAUUAGCUCAGUCUGAACCAUUUUGGAUGUUUUCUGCUGAAUUUAAACCCUUACCCACCCGCUUCAGCGUGACUUGCUCUUGUAAACACAUAGAAAGUAGCAUUGAAAAUGCUCUAACAAAGUCAAUAAGAGCAGACAUUGUUAACGUCGUGGGGUUGGUGCCCAACAUCAGGUAACCUCUUCAUAGUUCCUCACCUGUCUCUUCGUUCUUACAAAUCGUCGCCAUGAUGCUCUUUUUCUGUCACUUUGGUCAAACUCUGCAUUUUCAAGUUUAUCUUCAUUUUUCUGCUCAUUCUAGUGUAAUCCUUCCCCCCACUCUUUCUGUCUUUCUGCCUUUUUUUUUAAUUUCAUGCGUUAGGCAGUGGACAGCCAGAGCAAUGGCUUUACCAGACCUACCUGUAGGGCUGCUUAAGGCGGCUCUUUCAUCUGGGCUCUGGAGAAAGAAGCCCCUGGCCCUAAAACAGCUGUGUGGAGCUGGGAGUGAGAGGACUGUGAAAAAAGGCAGAAAAGAAAGAAGGGAAAUUCAGUGGUCUUCUGGGAAUCCUGCCUCCGUAUACCUCUUUGCUCCUUUUUUCCCCUUCUUUGUCUUUAAGUCCACCUUUCUCCGCCUCCUUCUUUCUUAAUUUAUAUGUUAUCAUCACUGACCAACAACAGAUUUGAUUAAACUAUUUUAAGCCAUUUUGA
Molecule: long non-coding RNA, 4422 nt
Organism: Xiphophorus couchianus (Monterrey platyfish)
Lineage: Eukaryota; Metazoa; Chordata; Actinopteri; Cyprinodontiformes; Poeciliidae
Exons: 2
Source: RefSeq, a predicted model, not a curated record